GGCCCACAGCCCCCGCUGGUGAUACUUGUUAGGGACUUUCUCGGCGCUACACGCUUUUUUUGCGUUGUGCCACUUACUUGUCACAACGGCCCUAAGAGGAGAAGGCAGGCUGUGGUCCCUGGUUGGUGUUCGUUGCUGCCCUGAGGGGAAGAGGAGAGAUGGCCCCUGACCACCACUUGGAGCACGGAUGGGAGUCCUGACGGACAUAGAGUCCCAGCUUGGAACAUCCACUCUUAGGAAGGGGAUUUGAAACAUCAGGUCCUUCUCUCUCUGCACCACACACUUCUAUAGCUUGCCCUGGAGCUGGCGCUGGAAGGAACUUGGAGUAUGUGUGCUCCGGGAGCCGUGAGACAGCCAGAUUUCUCUGAAGAGUUGUCUGACCUCAUUGGCCUCAUCCCUCCCCCAGCCACACCUGCCUCAAUGUCUCUGUCAAGGACGCCCCUCCAGAGUGUCAGAAGAAUGGCGUCUGCUAAGAUCCCCAUGACCUUUGCAUUACUAAAUCAAAUGUACACUUUCAGUCUUCAACUUUUGCGUGUUCUCGGCAGUGUCCUAAAUCUAGAGAGUGGGGUCAUAUGGACCUCCUUAGGUCCAGCUGCGGAGGGACAGACCACAUAGAGUCCAUGGCAUGAUAGUUCUCAGUGAUUCACCGCUCCGUGGAUGGGUGCCCUCCAUGACGGGACCCUGUGGGUCCUCCUGCUGGACGUGGAGUAUCCUUCCCUACUCUGCUGGUGUUGGGAUUGGCCCAGGGGAGUAGGAGCAGAAGGGAGGGCAUGCCAGAAUGAGCCCAGGACUUCUGACGCAUUGCGUGGGUCUACUCAUAUUCCUGGACUGCUACCACUGUCAAGAGAAAAAGAUGUUCUGGUUCCAGAAAUACGAGAGACAUGUGAGAAGAGCUGUUCCAGGUGCCCCACUGACCUGUGAACAUGGGAGUGAUCAUUAAUGCAUAUUAGGGUCCAUAAUCAAAGGAGCGAGGCUGAUACAAAGAGGUCAAGCAAAGCUUUAUUUCGCAUCAAGCAUCGAGAAUCAACUGACCGGUCAGGGCCCUCUCUUGCAAAGAGGCGACCCCUCCCAGCCUCACAGACUUUUAUAGAGGUAGUUUAGCCGGGCUAUACACAGGUGGCCAAUGAGAUUGCAAUACACAGAGAAAACUGCACAGUCAUGCUAGGUCUGCCACACACAGAAAAAACUGCUAGGUAACACACAGGUGGCCAAUUGAAUUUCAAUUUACCCUAGUAGAUAUAUGCGUGCCCCACUGAUUGGAUGUCUUCACCUGGCCUGACCCGCCCUUGUAUCUAGGCUUUGUAAGUAAGUUCCUCUGGGAGGGGCAGGGUCAAUCUAAGUUCACUACAUAAACACAAAAUGACCCCCUCUGGCCAACCAGGUCCUUACAAUGCUUACUGGUUUUUUGUUUUUUUUUUUAAGAUGUAUUUAUUUAGGGAUGCUUGGGUGGCUCAGUGGAUUAAGACUCUGCCUUCAGCUCAGGUCAUAAUCCCAGGGUCCUGGGAUCAAACCCCACACCAGGCUCCCAGAGAGCCUGCUUCCCCCACUCUCUCUGCCUGCCUCUCUGCCUACUUGUGAUC
Mustela lutreola (European mink) is the source of this 1580-nucleotide long non-coding RNA. RefSeq lists it as uncharacterized. The transcript has 4 exons. The record is from RefSeq and is a predicted model, not a curated record. Lineage: Eukaryota; Metazoa; Chordata; Mammalia; Carnivora; Mustelidae.